GUGGGGAAUUUUGGACAAUGGGCGCAAGCCUGAUCCAGCAAUGCCGCGUGCAGGAAGAAGGCCUUCGGGUUGUAAACUGCUUUUGUACGGAACGAAACGGUCCGGGUUAAUACCCUGGGCUAAUGACGGUACCGUAAGAAUAAGCAACGGCUAACUACGUGCCAGCAGCCGCGGUAAUACGUAGGGUGCAAGCGUUAAUCGGAAUUACUGGGCGUAAAGCGUGCGCAGGCGGUUUUGUAAGACAGGCGUGAAAUCCCCGGGCUCAACCUGGGAAUUGCGCUUGUGACUGCAAGGCUGGAGUGCGGCAGAGGGGGAUGGAAUUCCGCGUGUAGCAGUGAAAUGCGUAGAUAUGCGGAGGAACACCGAUGGCGAAGGCAAUCCCCUGGGCCUGCACUGACGCUCAUGCACGAAAGCGUGGGGAGCAAACAGGAUUAGAAACCCGGGUAGUCC
This 450-nucleotide ribosomal RNA is filed under the name uncultured bacterium. Its description in RNAcentral is "partial 16S ribosomal RNA". It matches the Rfam family "Bacterial small subunit ribosomal RNA", at positions 354 to 796 of the family's 1533-position model. The record is from RNAcentral.